AUUUCUAAAACAAAAUUUUCAAAACAAAUACAAAUAUCUAAUUUGAAUCUUUACUCUCUGCAAAGCAAAUAUCUGCUUCUAAUUAUCUCUCUCGUAUUCUCAAAACAAAUCGCUUAACCGGAACUAAUUAUAAAGACUAGGUAAGAAACUUAAAAAUAGUUUUAAAUUUCAAAAAGCUCUGCAAUGUUCUCGACCAGAAAAAUCUCACGUUACCAAACCGUCCAAUAACUAACCGAA
Molecule: long non-coding RNA, 237 nt
Filed under: Ananas comosus (pineapple)
Lineage: Eukaryota; Viridiplantae; Streptophyta; Magnoliopsida; Poales; Bromeliaceae
Description: long non-coding RNA (ACOM_LNC037411)
Source: RNAcentral